This 365-nucleotide ribosomal RNA is filed under the name uncultured Hydrogenophaga sp. Its description in RNAcentral is "bacterial SSU rRNA". It matches the Rfam family "Bacterial small subunit ribosomal RNA", at positions 1017 to 1382 of the family's 1533-position model. The record is from RNAcentral. Lineage: Bacteria; Pseudomonadati; Pseudomonadota; Betaproteobacteria; Burkholderiales; Comamonadaceae.
CCCUCGGGUGACAGGGAGACAGGUGGUGCAUGGUUGUCGUCAGCUCGUGUCGUGAGAUGUUGGGUUUAAGUCCCGCAACGAGCGCAACCCUUGUCAUUAGUUGCUACAUUUGGUUGGGCACUCUAAUGAGACUGCCGGUGACAAACCGGAGGAAGGUGGGGAUGACGUCAAGUCCUCAUGGCCCUUAUAGGUGGGGCUACACACGUCAUACAAUGGCCGGUACAAAGGGUCGCAAACCCGCGAGGGGGAGCCAAUCCAUCAAAGCCGGUCGUAGUCCGGAUCGCAGUCUGCAACUCGACUGCGUGAAGUCGGAAUCGCUAGUAAUCGUGGAUCAGCAUGUCACGGUGAAUACGUUCCCGGGUCUU